AUGGAGGAGAAUAGUUCUGUCAGUGAACACAUACUCAAAAUGUCUGGGUAUAAUAAUCACUUGAUUCAACUGGGAGUUAAUCUUCCUGAUGAUAGUGUCAUUGACAGAAUUCUCCAAUCACUGCCACCAAGCUACAAGAGCUUCGUGAUGAACUAUAAUAUGCAAGGGAUGAACAAGACUAUUCCCGAGCUCUUCACAAUGCUAAAGGCUGCGGAGGUAGAAAUCAAAAAGGAGCAUCAAGUGUUGAUGGUUAACAAGACCACCAGUUUCAAGAAAAAGGGCAAAGGGAAGAAGAAGGGGAACUUUAAAAAGAACGGCAAGCAAGUUGCUGCUCAAGAGAAGAAACCCAAGUCUGGACCUAAGCCUGAAACUGAGUGCUUCUACUGCAAGCAGACUGGACACUGGAAGCGGAACUGCCCCAAGUAUUUGGCGGAUAAGAAGGAUGGCAAAGUGAACAAAGGUAUAUGUGAUAUACAUGUUAUUGAUGUGUACCUUACUAAUGCUCGCAGUAGCACCUGGGUAUUUGAUACUGGUUCUGUUGCUAAUAUUUGCAACUCGAAAUAG
Molecule: ribosomal RNA, 564 nt
Filed under: Triticum aestivum (bread wheat)
Lineage: Eukaryota; Viridiplantae; Streptophyta; Magnoliopsida; Poales; Poaceae
Description: partial small subunit ribosomal RNA
Source: RNAcentral